Molecule: long non-coding RNA, 1698 nt
Filed under: Octopus vulgaris (common octopus)
Lineage: Eukaryota; Metazoa; Mollusca; Cephalopoda; Octopoda; Octopodidae
Source: RNAcentral
UCACCUGCGUAAAUUAUUAGUAUCUGUAUCAAAUACUGGCUUUUAGUUUUGCUGUAGUAGUUUCGGUUUGUUCACUGGAUGCAUAUAUCAAACCUUUAUUACAACAAAGUAUCAUGAACUUUUAAGUUAGAAAUAUAUGUAUAUAUAUAAUAUAAUAUAUAUAUGUAUAUCUGUAUGUAUAUUAAUUCUUGUCACUGAUACCUUAGGUUUCCCAUAAUUAAAAUUGGUCUACUGAUAUACUUUUACUUGGUUGAAGGCCUGGCUGUAAGCCAUAAGGCAGAAGAAGCUGAAAGAAUAUCAGUAGGCCAACUCUAUCGACAGGAAACCGAAGGUGUCAGUGAUGAGAUUUUUCACACUAAUUUACAUACUCUACCCUAUUGUUGUGUAGUGCUUUAUUAGUUUGUUACCACAAAAAUACAAAAAUAACACAUUAUUUAUAUAUUUAUAUACACAUUAGUUUGUUUUAUUCAUGAUGGCUUUGACCAUGGUAUCAAACAUUUUUAGUAACUAUUUCUCUUCGUGUUAUUUUUCAGUAAAUAGUUAAAAUUUUUUAUUCAGUUUAAUUAAAAUUUGAUUGAAAGUAACAUUUCAUUUUGGUUUGUGAUUUUUUUUUCCUUACAACACUGUUACACAUACCAGUUACUUUCAAGUAUAUUUUGUGGUUUUAUAUAUAAGAGAUAGGGAAUAUAUCCAAAGUACUUAAUGAUAGUUGGAAUCCUGUAAACUUGUGUGAUUUAUACAUAACUAAAUCAUUGUUUAAACUGGAAUUGAUUAAAUAAAUUGUCGUUAUUAUUGAAAAUUCAUAGGUUUUAUUAGAUUACACUUUUAUUAAAUGCUAAAAGUAAAUUUAAAAAAAACAACAAAAAAGAUAGUGAUUUUUAAGAAAGUUUGUGAGUAAAAUUCUUUGUGGAAUGGAAUAUGUAUCCAGCCAACAAAAAUAGUAUAGAAAAAAAAAAAAGAAAAAACAACCCCCCCACAAAAGACAGUCUUCUGUAGGAGAUUCGACACAUGUAUCUUAAUUUUCAUAUUUGCAAAAUUGUUUUGUUGAGAUCCUUGUCUUAGAAUUUAAUGUGGCAGUUCUAAGUUUCAUGUAAAUUAUGUGCACAAAUAUAUAUUAUGUAUGUGUGUGUGUAUACACCUACACACUUAUGUAUGUGUGUGUAUAUAUAUAUAUAUGUGUAUAUAUGUGCAUAUAUAUAUAUAUAUAUAUAUAUAUAUGUACACUUGUCUGUAUAUAAUACACAUUAUAUACAAACAUUAUAUAUAUAUAUAUAUAUACACAUGUAUAUGUGUGUAUAUAUGUAUAUGAUAUAUAAUAUAUAUAUAUAUACACACGUAUAUAUAUAUAUAUAUAUGCACAUGUAUAUGUGUGUGUAUAUAUGUAUAUGAAAUAUAAUAUAUAUAUAUACACACGUAUAUAUGUAUACAUGUAUAUGUGUGUGUAUAUAUGUAUAUGAUAUAUAAUAUACAUAUAUACUCUAAUAUAUAUAUCUACAUACAUAUAUAUUCUAAAUUAUAUAUAUAAGCAUAUAGUGUAUUAUUAUAUAUAUAUAUACACAUACACUCAUUCUUUUGUAAAUGAAGGAAAUUUUUUUUUCAUUAAGAAGUUUUUUUUUUUUUUUAUCAUACAAAACCUGUUGAACAGUCAUUAACAUUAUGUUUUGUGGAAAUAAAUAAUAGAAACUUAGUAUCUAAACC